Molecule: ribosomal RNA, 374 nt
Filed under: uncultured bacterium
Lineage: Bacteria
Description: bacterial SSU rRNA
Rfam family: Bacterial small subunit ribosomal RNA
Source: RNAcentral
UCUCACUCUAGCGAGACUGCCGUUGACAAAACGGAGGAAGGCGGGGACGACGUCAAAUCAUCAUGCCCCUUAUGUCCCGGGCUACACACGUAAUACAAUGGCGGUCAACAGAGGGAAGCAAAGCCGCGAGGCAGAGCAAACCCCUAAAAGCCGUCUCAGUUCGGAUUGCAGGCUGCAACUCGCCUGCAUGAAGUUGGAAUUGCUAGUAAUCGUGGAUCAGCAUGCCACGGUGAAUACGUUCCCGGGCCUUGUACACACCGCCCGUCACACCAUGAGAGUUGGGAACACCCGAAGUCCGUAGUCUAACCGCAAGGAGGGCGCGGCCGAAGGUGGGCCUGAUAAUUGGGGUGAAGUCGUAACAAGGUAACCGUAAA